CCUACGGGUGGCAGCAGUGGGGAAUAUUGCACAAUGGGCGAAAGCCUGAUGCAGCAACGCCGCGUGAGCGAUGAAGGCCUUCGGGUCGUAAAGCUCUGUCCUCAAGGAAGAUAAUGACGGUACUUGAGGAGGAAGCCCCGGCUAACUACGUGCCAGCAGCCGCGGUAAUACGGAGGAUGCGAGCGUUAUCCGGAUUUAUUGGGUUUAAAGGGUGCGUAGGCGGACUGUUAAGUCAGCGGUAAAAGCCCGGGGCUCAACCCCGGCGAGCCGUUGAAACUGGCUGUCUUGAGAUGUCGAGAGGUAUGCGGAAUGCGCAGUGUAGCGGUGAAAUGCUUAGAUAGUGCGCAGAACUCCGAUUGCGAAGGCAGCAUACCGGCGGCGAUCUGACGCUGAGGCACGAAAGCGUGGGUAUCGAACAGGAUUAGAUACCCUGGUAGUC
Molecule: ribosomal RNA, 439 nt
Filed under: uncultured bacterium
Lineage: Bacteria
Description: partial 16S ribosomal RNA
Rfam family: Bacterial small subunit ribosomal RNA
Source: RNAcentral